RNAcentral lists this ribosomal RNA (367 nucleotides) under uncultured bacterium. Its description in RNAcentral is "partial 16S ribosomal RNA". It matches the Rfam family "Bacterial small subunit ribosomal RNA", at positions 338 to 698 of the family's 1533-position model. The record is from RNAcentral.
CCUACGGGAGGCAGCAGUAGGGAAUUUUCGGCAAUGGGGGGAACCCUGACCGAGCAACGCCGCGUGAAGGAAGAAGGAAUUCGUUCUGUAAACUUCUGUUAUAAAGGAAGAAAGACGGAUGGAGGAAAUGACAUCCGAGUGACGGUACUUUAUGAGAAAGCCACGGCUAACUACGUGCCAGCAGCCGCGGUAAUACGGGGGUGGCAAGCGCUAUCCGGAAUUAUUGGGCGUAAAGAGGGAGCAGGCGGCAGCAAAGGUCUGUGGUGAAAGACUGAAGCUUAACUCCAGUAAGCCAUAGAAACCGGGCAGCUAGAGUGCAGUUGAGGUUCGUGGAAUGCAAGGUGUAGCGGUGAAAUGCGUAGAGAUA